AUUCCGGAUAGGCCACAGAUGCUGGAAUGCACUGUGGCUCAAAGCUCCGGCGCCGAAGGAUGGGUCUGCGGCCUAUCAGGGUUGUAGUGGGUGUAAUGUACCUACUAGCCUACGACGGGUACGGGUUGUGAGAGCAAGAGCCCGGAGAUGGAUUCUGAGACACGAAUCCAGGCCCUACGGGGUGCAGCAGGCGCGAAAACUUUACAAUGCGGGAAACCGUGAUAAGGGAAUCUCGAGUGCCAGCAUAUAAUGUUGGCUGUCCAGAUGCCUAAAAAGCAUCUGUUAGCAAGGGCCGGGCAAGACCGGUGCCAGCCGCCGCGGUAACACCGGCGGCCCGAGUGGUAACCGCUUUUAUUGGGUCUAAAGGGUCUGUAGCCGGCCAUGUAAGUCCCUUGGGAAAUCUGGCAGCUCAACUGUCAGGCUGCUAGGGGAUACUGCUUGGCUUGGGACCGGGAGAGGUGAGAGGUACCUUGAGGGUAGGGGUGAAAUCUUGUGAUCCUCGGGGGACCACCAGUGGCGAAGGCGUCUCACCAGAACGGGUCCGACGGUAAGGGACGAAAGCUAGGGGCACGAACCGGAUUAGAUACCCGGGUAGUCCUAGCCGUAAACGAUGCUCGCUAGGUGUCAGUCACGGUGCGACCGUGAUUGGUGCCGUAGGGAAGCCGUGAAGCGAGCCACCUGGGAAGUACGGCCGCAAGGCUGAAACUUAAAGGAAUUGGCGGGGGAGCACUACAACGGGUGGAGCCUGCGGUU
RNAcentral lists this ribosomal RNA (753 nucleotides) under uncultured archaeon. Its description in RNAcentral is "bacterial SSU rRNA". It matches the Rfam family "Archaeal small subunit ribosomal RNA", at positions 149 to 902 of the family's 1478-position model. The record is from RNAcentral.